CGUGCAGGUGGUCGGGUAAGUCAGAUGUGAAAGCCUUCUGCUUAACAGAAGAAGUGCAUUUGAAACUGCUCGGCUAGAGUACGGGAGAGGAGAGUGGAAUUCCCGGUGUAGAGGUGAAAUUCGUAGAUAUCGGGAGGAACACCAGUGGCGAAGGCGGCUCUCUGGUCCGAUACUGACGCUGAGACGCGAAAGCGUGGGGAGCAAACAGGAUUAGAUACCCUGGUAGUCCACGCCGUAAACGAUGGGCACUAGGUGUAGGAGGUAUUGACCCCUUCUGUGCCGAAGCUAACGCAUUAAGUGCCCCGCCUGGGGAGUACGGCCGCAAGGCUAAA
This 332-nucleotide ribosomal RNA is filed under the name uncultured bacterium. RNAcentral describes it as "bacterial SSU rRNA". It matches the Rfam family "Bacterial small subunit ribosomal RNA", at positions 568 to 898 of the family's 1533-position model. The record is from RNAcentral.